Halichondria panicea is the source of this 941-nucleotide RNA transcript. RefSeq lists it as uncharacterized. The transcript has 5 exons. The record is from RefSeq and is a predicted model, not a curated record. NCBI's taxonomy places the organism in Eukaryota, Metazoa, Porifera, Demospongiae, Suberitida, Halichondriidae.
AUGUGUGGUUAUGUCGACACUCUUCAUCGAGAUUGUGUACAUAUUGAUAUGAUGAAGACAGUAGCAGUGGAGAGGGAGACUAAGAGUGAAGGUGAGAGGUCAUGUGAGGAGGUUGAGAGGUCAGGGAGGUCAUGUGAGCGGCUGGUGGAAUGUCGUGAUGUGGUUCUAUUCUCUACUGACACACCUACUGACACACGUACACCUGAUGAUGUCAUCAUUUCCUUAGAGGCCGACAUGUCCUGGUGUGCUCGGUUGUUGAGUGUGUGUGUGCGUGGUGUGGGUGUUCGUUACUUGUCAGCGUGUUGGUCUACUCUUGGAGGAGCACACUCUGCUCUGGGAGAAUGUAGUCAAGCACAUGCUGUACAGGCUGGACUGGUGUCCCAGCAGCAACUAGCUCUUGCCCUGAUCAUGGGAGAUCCAUUGUUGGUGGCGCGUUGCAAGCUCUUCUUGGCAUUCAGUCUACUACAGCAGGGGAGAGUCAAGAGAGCUGCUAGAAUUAUCAGAAUGCUUUGAUAUGCCACCUGGCUGUCAUGAGAUGUGUGUAGCAAGUGAAAGCUGGUCACUGACAUUGUGUGUAGCCACAAUGAACCUGUGCUGUUAUUGUGGUCUAUAUUGUGGUAGGAAUGACUUCAACUCUGGUAAUCUCAUUAAUGCAGUGACACAGUACAGGCAGGAAGUGGAAGCUUACAUAUAUACAACUAUUGUCUUAAACCCUGAGCUGUGUAUCAUCAUGUCUCCUCUAUCCUCUGCACAGGGACCAGUAUGUGUUUGCCACCUCUGAGAGCAGUGUGUAUGAUCAAAAGUUGGUGGACAUGUGUCUGGCAGCCUGGACAAGAGUCAAGCAACUAACUCCACUAACAGUUACAAACUAAUCCUAAAUUAAGAUCAUUCAUUUUUUGUCAUUGCCUGCAAAAUUUAAUUAUUCCGGAUGUAAACUUUGA